CUUCCCGCUGCCUCCUCCUCGUUCACCCAGCCAGCCAGCCCUGUUUCCGCCACCGCCACUGCUUUCCUCCCCUCCCUGCAACACACAGCAGCUGGAGCUUCUCCGUCCGCUUCGUCUCGCCUCUCGGCUGCCACAGUUGAUGUUCCUUUCCGUCUGUGUCUCUCCCUUUCUCCAUUCUUCCUCUGCCUCCGAGUUUCUCUUUCUUUUCCCGUUAUCAUCUAGAUGAAUCCGACUGGAGUUUGGACUUAGGCCUGCGCUAAGAAGAAGGGAACCUGCGAUCUGUGAAGAGGGGAUUUUUAAAGAAGAUUUUCUUUUAAUGUUGAUGAGAAGGACUUUAAAUGACUGCAAAAUCCUUCCUCUCAUGAGAGUCUUGAAACGGGGCAUUAAGAUGAAUCCCAAAAGAAGACAAUCUUCCCUCCCCGAAUGACUGCGAUUUAGCAGACCUGGAAACUUGCUGGAUCUUAUUUUAUUGCUGUUGUUGUCCAUGUGUGUGUUAAGACGCUGUUGUAGUCGGAUUUGAAACAUCAGAUGCUGAAAAUGUUGCUGUGUAUGGAUGAGUAUGGUAACCGAAUAAUUGAUUUUUAAAAUCAGCCUUCUUGAGCAAGUGCAGAGAAGGGGAGAGAUUGCUGUCGAAGUGAAGGCUCCUUGGCUAGAAAUUGAAAUAUUUGUUGCCAGGUUUUCCUAGAAAAGACUUUACUAGGUUAAUUUUGUGUUGUGAAGGAAUCUUUGGCGAAGGCAACAGCCCUAGGCAGAAGGGCAUUGUGUGUGAUCAUACCACAGGAUAGUACGAAGUGUGUGUCGCUCGUUUAUGCUGGGUUAACUGCCUCUUUUUUACUCACUAUUGAAAUUCCGAUCCUGCAGUCCUUACUCACACGAGACUCCAGUUGACGUCAAUAGGAGCUUUUUUUGAGUAAGGACUGCAGGAUUGGACCAUACAAUUGGACAGUAAGUACCUGUAAAUGUCGUGGAAUGCAUCCUUUCGGCUAUGGAUGGACGUAGUUUACACAUAGGAGAAAUCCCUUCUAGAUCAUGCAUUGCUCUUACAUGUAAUGCAACUGGAUCCUCUCCGACCUCUUUGUGAUGAUUGCUUGAAUAAUACCAGGAUCUGGUGUAACAUAUCCAUUCAAGUUUUUCCUCAUUUUAAGUUCUGCAUGGUGUACUCUAGUAGUGGAUAGAGCACUGGAGUGGAACUCAGGAGACCAGGAUUCUAUUCCUGUCUCUACUACUGGCCUGCUGGGGUGACCUUGGGUAACUCACUUCAUCUCAACUUCCCGAUCUGUAAAAGGAGGAUAAUGAUACUGACCUUCUUUGUAAAACACUUUGAGAUCUCCAAAUAAAAAGUGAUAUUUAAGAGCUUUUUAUUAUUACCAUUAUUUCUGUUUAAUGGUUAGUCAAUUCAAAUGUAAUAUCUACUGAUUUCUGAACAGAAUUUUUUGGAAGGUCAUUGAUGUAUCUGCAUAAAUAAAAAGCCCUUACAAGACAGUUUAUAUUUUUAAAUAAAUAAAUAAAACUUGCUGGCAAUUUAAAAAACUUUUGUGCACAAUUUUGGGAAUUCAUUGCAUAUAUGCUCUAUGGGUAGAAUGCAGUGUAGCUCAACUAGCAUUCUAAAUGUAUCAAGUUAUUGAGGAUUUUGGUAUUAAGUCCGAGUUACAGUAGUGAAUAGGAGGAAGGCAAUGAUUAAUGCUAUUUGCCAAGAAUGUAAAUAUAAAGUCAUGCUUAUUGCAUUGACUUUUAUCCACAGGCGCAUACAAUUGCACCAUAUAAUUAAUUCACUGGGGACUAUUCAUCUUGAGAAGUAAAUAACCUUAAGGUCAGGUGAAACUUUCAGUAAUACAGAAAAAAAAACAGAACAAAAAACAGCCAAAGUAGCCUGCAGCAUAGGGAAUAAGAUAUGUGUACAGAUAACCAUGUUGUGAUUUUCAGGUUUACAAUCUGGAAGUGACCAUUCAUUUUCUCUGAUAUAGGAACUGAGUGUAAAAUUCUAUCCCAUUUCAAGUUUCCUUAUACUAGUUCCUUAGUAUAAUCAAGCAACAGGAAAUUCAGAUAACAUAGCACAAAAUUAUUUUUUUUUCUGUAAAGUAACUACAAAACCUUUUUUCCCCCCCAGUCCAGAAGCUCUAAGAUUCAUUUCAGUAACUUGCAUUAAUACAAUUGUAUUAAGAAUUUUUAUUUUUGUGUGAAAUGUUCAAGCCAUGUACAAUUAUAGAGAGCAAAUUGCGCCCUUCUGUAGGGGAAAAACAUAGAAAGCUACAAAACUCACAGAGUUUCAGUUUAGAGUUGUUUCCAAAUAAUCCUAUUAGGAGUGGAUUCUAACCUUUAGAUAUCCAGAUGUCACAAGAUCAGUAUUUAUACAAACGUUCUUUGGAAGCAUCCACAAAGGGCUCCCUGUGGCUAAUACUCCAGCCAAGCAGGCGUGUACCUUCUGCACCAAAUGCAAUUUCUGAGUGAGCUUCAAGGAUAGCCCAUAUAGCAGUAAUCCAAUAUCAAGGUCUUAAGGGAAUGGCCAGGGGUAAGGAGAUCCACAUGAGAGAGAACUGUUCAGUCACCUUACAAGAUACAGAUGCGAAAAGAGUUUUGUCACUGAAAGAACUUUGAAAUCCAGAAAAAGAAUAUGAGGAUGCAAAAGCAUGCUGUGAUGGGGUGUACCAGGCCCUUCAUAGCCCCUUCCUGGAGGUCUUAUGGUCCUACUACACCUCACCCCAGGAAAGGAGUAGCAAAGCUAGGUCCUUCAACUGUGCCUAGAGAGGCUGCAUGAAAGCAGUAAACCAGAGUCCAUCAGGCUCAGAGUCCUCCUCUCUGGCCAAAGGAACUUGAGGGACAACCAGAGUUCAGAGAGAGAGGACCUGAGAACUUUAACCAUGAGGAAAGAGGUGAAGAUAAAGGAGCCAGGUGGAAAGAGGCCUAGGUAAAUAGCAGUAACAAAUUUAAGUGGCUGCUGUUUAUGGGGCUUCUGGGUUGGAACCCAAAGUAGUAGGCAGGCCCAGGUUCUCCCACCAACCACUGGUAAAGUGCUAUAAACCUCAAAAAGGAGACAAGACUUGUUUGGAAGCACAAGUGAAGGACUCAAUUUUAAGAGCACUGUCCCAAAUCCACCUUCCAGAUACUUCCUCCCCACUUACUAACCUCUGUCUUUUCUGGACUGAGUUUCAGAUGGAUCUUUUCCGUCAAAGAUAUUAUAUUGGCUAGACACUGGAAAAGCAAACUCGCUCUCUAGGUUUUAUGAUUAAAAAAAACAUCUAAUUGCAUGAUAGUUACAUACCCAUACAGGGAAAGCAAAUUUCAAAUCCUGUGGAGCCCCACAUGAGAGCUAUGAGGAUUAAUAAGUAAAUUCCUAACACACACUCUGAGAUCUUUCUGAGAAGCACUAAAGUAAUUCUGUCUAUUCUGUCAGGAUGUGCAAGUGAAUCAGUACAUCUUAAUGAUCAAGGGAAUCAAAGGUUGUUAAAGUCAGCAUGAACAUUUGACUGCUAUCCCUUGCAAGAUGAUGAUGGGCUAGAUUCACAAAAAAAAAAGGGCAAAAAAAAUCUUAAA
Long non-coding RNA from Gopherus evgoodei (Goodes thornscrub tortoise), 3531 nucleotides. RefSeq lists it as uncharacterized. NCBI's taxonomy places the organism in Eukaryota, Metazoa, Chordata, Testudines, Testudinidae. The record is from RefSeq and is a predicted model, not a curated record. The transcript has 2 exons.